AUGAACGCUGGCGGCGUGCCUAAUACCUGCAAGUCGAGCGAACAGACGAGGAGCUUGCUCCUCUGACGUUAGCGGCGGACGGGUGAGUAACACGUGGAUAACCUACCUAUAAGACUGGGAUAACUUCGGGAAACCGGAGCUAAUACCGGAUAAUAUAUUGAACCGCAUGGUUCAAUAGUGAAAGACGGUUUUGCUGUCACUUAUAGAUGGAUCCGCGCCGCAUUAGCUAGUUGGUAAGGUAACGGCUUACCAAGGCAACGAUGCGUAGCCGACCUGAGAGGGUGAUCGGCCACACUGGAACUGAGACACGGUCCAGACUCCUACGGGAGGCAGCAGUAGGGAAUCUUCCGCAAUGGGCGAAAGCCUGACGGAGCAACGCCGCGUGAGUGAUGAAGGUCUUCGGAUCGUAAAACUCUGUUAUUAGGGAAGAACAAAUGUGUAAGUAACUAUGCACGUCUUGACGGUACCUAAUCAGAAAGCCGCGGCUAACUACGUGC
This 497-nucleotide ribosomal RNA is filed under the name uncultured bacterium. RNAcentral's name for it is "partial 16S ribosomal RNA". It matches the Rfam family "Bacterial small subunit ribosomal RNA", at positions 29 to 508 of the family's 1533-position model. The record is from RNAcentral.